Molecule: transfer RNA, 76 nt
Filed under: Candidatus Litorirhabdus singularis
Lineage: Bacteria; Pseudomonadati; Pseudomonadota; Gammaproteobacteria; Cellvibrionales; Halieaceae
Description: tRNA-Phe
Rfam family: tRNA
About the family: Transfer RNA (tRNA) molecules are approximately 80 nucleotides in length. Their secondary structure includes four short double-helical elements and three loops (D, anti-codon, and T loops). Further hydrogen bonds mediate the characteristic L-shaped molecular structure. tRNAs have two regions of fundamental functional importance: the anti-codon, which is responsible for specific mRNA codon recognition, and the 3' end, to which the tRNAs corresponding amino acid is attached (by aminoacyl-tRNA synthetases). tRNAs cope with the degeneracy of the genetic code in two manners: having more than one tRNA (with a specific anti-codon) for a particular amino acid; and 'wobble' base-pairing, i.e. permitting non-standard base-pairing at the 3rd anti-codon position.
Source: RNAcentral
GCCCGGGUAGCUCAGUCGGUAGAGCAGUGGAUUGAAAAUCCUCGUGUCGGUGGUUCGAUUCCGCCCCCGGGCACCA